This 342-nucleotide ribosomal RNA is filed under the name Triticum aestivum (bread wheat). Its description in RNAcentral is "partial small subunit ribosomal RNA". The record is from RNAcentral. Lineage: Eukaryota; Viridiplantae; Streptophyta; Magnoliopsida; Poales; Poaceae.
AUAUGUUUGAUUCAGGAGAGGAUGACUGGAAGGAAACUUGGGACAGGAACCAGGCGUAGUGGAUUGUGGUAUAUGGAUCGUGAUGUGUCUAGGUCUGGUGCUAGUCCUAUUUUGGCUGUACUAGUUGGAGUAAGUGAGACAAUGGCGAUGAUCCAUCACUGUCGCAUGGGGCAUAUGGCUUUUGAUAAGAUGAGUAAGAUGUUUCCCGAUGUAAUGCGUGGAGUAGACAAGAGUAAGCUUAUGUGUGAUGCAUGUGAAUAUGCAAAGCACACAAGAAUCUCGUAUUUGAGUAAGGGGCUAAGGAGUAUAUCCCCGUUUAUGCUGAUUCACUCUGAUGUGUGA